UCCUGGUCGCUUGAUAGUAGUUAAUGAAC
RNAcentral lists this non-coding RNA (29 nucleotides) under Mus musculus (house mouse). Lineage: Eukaryota; Metazoa; Chordata; Mammalia; Rodentia; Muridae. The record is from RNAcentral.